AAUGAACGUUGGCGGCGUGGAUUAGGCAUGCAAGUCGUGCGGAAAGGCUCCUUCGGGAGUACUCGAGCGGCGCAAGGGAGAGUAACGCGUGGGUAACCUACCCCCAGAUCUGGGAUAGCUGCGGGAAACUGCAGGUAAUACCGGAUAAUGUCCCCGGACCAAAGGUGAGAUUCCGUCUGGGAGGGGCCCGCGUCCUAUUAGCUUGUUGGUGGGGUAACGGCCUACCAAGGCAUCGAUGGGUACCGGGCGUGAGAGCGUGGCCCGGCUCACUGGGACUGAGACACUGCCCAGACACCUACGGGUGGCUGCAGUCGAGAAUCUUCGGCAAUGGGCGCAAGCCUGACCGAGCGACGCCGCGUGCGGGAUGAAGGCCCUCGGGUUGUAAACCGCUGUCAGUUGGGAGGAAAUCCCAUGGGGCACUCUCCAUGGGUUGACCUAUCUUCAGAGGAAGUACGGGCUAACUCCGUG
RNAcentral lists this ribosomal RNA (468 nucleotides) under uncultured bacterium. RNAcentral's name for it is "bacterial SSU rRNA". It matches the Rfam family "Bacterial small subunit ribosomal RNA", at positions 28 to 507 of the family's 1533-position model. The record is from RNAcentral.